Molecule: unclassified non-coding RNA, 285 nt
Filed under: Hevea brasiliensis (rubber tree)
Lineage: Eukaryota; Viridiplantae; Streptophyta; Magnoliopsida; Malpighiales; Euphorbiaceae
Source: RNAcentral
GAGGGGGAUUGGCUUGGUUGCCUUUUCAUCAUCUCCUCGAUUCCGGCCACCUGCAAUGCUCCGGCCUGUGGUUGAACCACCAUUUGCGCCUCCUCCUGCUCUGGAUUGCAUUAUUGCUCUCAGCUUACAGUAGUAAGAAUACUUUUCAUCUCGCUCUUCUGAACCAUCUUCCCCUUAGGAGGUCACAACAUGAUCAGUAAUAAACAAAGUGAGGUGAGGAGUUAAGUGGUUAAUUAACGGUAGUUAAGUCAUUAGUGUUCAAUUAGUUACCGUCAGUUACAUAUA